This 406-nucleotide ribosomal RNA is filed under the name uncultured bacterium. Its description in RNAcentral is "partial 16S ribosomal RNA". It matches the Rfam family "Bacterial small subunit ribosomal RNA", at positions 30 to 526 of the family's 1533-position model. The record is from RNAcentral.
AUUGAACGCUGGCGGCAGGCCUAACACAUGCAAGUCGAACGAGUGGCGGACGGGUGAGCAAUGUCUGGGAAACUGCCCGAUGGAGGGGGAUAACUACUGGAAACGGUAGCUAAUACCGCAUACCAUCGGAUUUCCCCAGAUGGGAUUAGCUAGUAGGUGGGGUAAUGGCUCACCUCGGCGACGAUCCCUAGCUGGUCUGAGAGGAUGACCAGCCACACUGGAACUGAGACACGGUCCAGAUUCCUACGGGAGGCAGCAGUGGGGAAUAUUGCACAAUGGGCUCGAGCCUGAUGCAGCCAUGCCGCGUGUUUGAAGAAGGCCUUCGGGUUGUAAAGUACUUUCAGCGAGGAGGCGGUACUCGCAGAAGAAGCACCGGCUAACUCCGAGCCAGCAGCCGCGGUAAUUC